UAUAUGUCUUCCACUCCAUCAUGCUACAUUUUUUGUCAUUUAUUACCUACUCAGCUGAUGAGAAGUAAAAAGGUAGCAUGGUGUAAGUUUUCACAGGUACUUUCUUAUUCUGUGUAUUGAUUGAACAUGACUUUUAUACUCAGUGAAUCUCAUAGUGGAGAAAUAGAAAUGUAUUCUUGCUCUUUUCAGGAAUUUUAGUUGAAAACCUAAUAUUGUUCAUCCAAGCCACUGCAAACUAGGAUCUCCAAAUCCUUUUUCUUUGGUGGGUUAAACUAGAGAAGUCAUUUAAUAUGUUAUUCUUACCCUUUUGAACACUAAAAGACCACAGAUUUCUUUAUAAGAUGCUCUAGCUUAUAUGACUGAGGGGGUGGUUAAUGUCAUUUGUGCUCAUGGGAAUCACAGGUUUUUAACAGUCUGAAAUAUUCAUUAUGAAAAA
Molecule: long non-coding RNA, 436 nt
Filed under: Bos taurus (domestic cattle)
Lineage: Eukaryota; Metazoa; Chordata; Mammalia; Artiodactyla; Bovidae
Description: long non-coding RNA NONBTAT008355
Source: RNAcentral